UCGCAUUUGCUGCCACCUGCCGUUCUUGGGGUACUGCUUUUGCCGGCUCCAUAGCAACAUUCCCACCUCUCCUUCUCCAACCUGAUGUCUCUUCUUCACCUCCUAAUGCUAGCCCCUUUAGCAACAACCUGGUGCCCAAUCGUCCAUAUCUUGUCACAGAUAUAGCCAAAGUCAACCAAGGUGCCAACCUUUGCUCUGAAAUUCCUCUACGUCUAGAAUGGUUUUCCUUCAUGGGGGCUUCCUUUGGCCAUCUCAUUUUGUUUAACAAAAAAUCUUGUAUCGUUGUUGAUGUGUCUAGAGGUGUUAGCGUCUCACCUCCACAUCUACCACUUGUUGAAUGUGCUGAGCCCAACUAUGGUGCCCUUACUGCUCCUCUCACAUCACCCAACUCUCAUCUCAUUAUCGAGGCUGGAUGUCACGGCCCGGCUGAUUGCCGCGCAGGUUGUAGUCGUGGUUGGUAGGAGGACGAGGGCGAGGCCCUCGCUUGCCUAUGGUUGGAGAAGGGGGUGAGGAGGGCGCCGUGGCGCAGGAGCAAGCGAGGAGAGGUUGUAGGAUAUUCUGCUUGCGUUUAUUGAUCCAAGGGCUGGCUAUAUAUAGCCUAAUUACAAGACCAGACUAAGACUCCUAUUACAAUUGGGUGUUGGCAGGGUAACCUUCUUUGGGACUAAACCUUUCCAACUAAUACCCAGACUCCUAAUCUAAAAAGACUGUAAUUAAACUAGGACAUAUCUUUUGGCAGGUGCAGGGCCGGCCCGUGCAGGUCCCUUACGCCUAUAGGGCUGGCCCCACAUGACAUCUCCCCCUCCAUUCUGAAGCAGCUCGUCCUCGAGCUUGAAGCUUGGAUAACGUUUGCGGAAGGUUGUAACAUCCUCCCAUGAAGCAGCAGACGCCGGCUGGCCCUCGCAGUGAAUGAGCACCUGCUGGAUACCGCGGGCAAUACGAGCACGCAAUGCUUGGACAGGGGUUGGAUGUACUCGACCCUGAAACAGAGGUGGAAGCAUCGGCGGAACUUCCGGCAGUGGGCCAUGGUACUUCUUCAGGACCCCGACAUGGAAAACAUUGUGAAUGCGGGCGCGUGGGGGCAACUCCAAACGGUAAGCAACCGUAUCGAUUUUAGCGAGGACUUUGAUAGGCCCAUAAUAUUUGGGAGCCGAUUUCCCUUUGGCGCCUACUCCAAGGAAUGUCGCCGGCCGGUGCUGAAGACGGAGCCAAACCCACUCUCCAACAUCAAUAGAAAGGGCCUGAUGCUUAUCAUCAUAGUAAUGCUUGUACUGUUGUGCUGCCUGAAGGAGACGCUCACGGAUGUCGUGUAAGAACUGAUUGCGGUCGACGAUCUGCCGUUCCACCGCCUGAUUACGAAUCUCGCCCGGCUUAUAGUCCCGGAAUGAGGGGGGAUCCCGUCCAUAAACCACCCUGAAAGGUGUGUCCUUCAACGCUAAGUGGUACGAAGUGUUGUAGCAGUACUCUGCCCAAGGCAACCAUUGGAGCCACUGCCGUGGGCGAUCCCCAGUUAUGCAACGGAGGUACAUGGUGAUGACGCGAUUGACAGCUUCAGAUUGCCCAUCAGACUGCGGAUGGAUGGCCGAACUCAUGUGCAAGCGUGUCCCCGCGGCGGCAAACAGAGCCUUCCAAAAGCCCGAAGUGAAAACCACAUCCCUGUCCGAAACGAUGGAUGUGGGAAACCCAUGAAGUCGGACAAUGUUGGAGAAGAAGGCUUUAGCAACAGACUCCGCAGUGUACGGAUGCGCCAAGGGGAUGAAAUGCACAUACUUGGAGAAACGGUCCACAACGGUCAGUAUCACACUUUUGCCGCCCACCUUCGGAAGUGCCUCAAUGAAAUCCAUGGAGAUGUCUUCCCAGACACGAGAGGGCACUGUCAAGGGCUGCAAUAAGCCGGCUGGAUGAAGCUGCUCCGUCUUGUUGCGUUGACAAACCUGACAAGCACGAAUAUACUGCUGAAGUGCGGCCCUUGCUUGCGGCAGAUGGAAAUCCCGGCGAAGACGAUGAAGUGACUUCUGGAUACCUUCAUGGCCCGCAUCAUGGGCUGCAGCCAGGACCUCCCCGAGCAGCGGCGACGCGGGUGGUACAUAAGCCCGUUGUUGGAAGGUAACAACACCAUCAACAAGAGCCCAAGGCUGUCCUAACUCACCAGAUUCUAGUUGUUCCCGGAAAGUGACAAGCGCCGGGUCCGUGUGUGCAGCCUGACGGAGAGCUUCAAACAGAUCAAAAGAAGGCCCGGAUAUGGCGAGUGCCUGGCCGGCAGGAGCAUCACGGCGAGAAAGAGCAUCGGCGACGAUGUUUGGGCGACCUGGUUUAUAUUCCACCGUGAAGUCGAACCCCAACAGUUUGCCCACCCAAUGAUGUUGUGGAAUGGUAGCGAGGCGUUGGUCCAGCAAAAACUUGCUGUAGUGGUCAGCUUUGACGACGAACGCACGUCCCCAAAGAUAGGGCCGCCAGUGGCGCACGGCGUGCACCAGACCAAUGAGCUCCCGCUCGUAAGCGGCGAGAGAAGCAUGACGCGGAGCGAUGGUUUUGCUGAAAUAGGCAAUGGGGCAGCCACCUUGAUGCAGGACUGCCCCAAAACCAGAUCCAGAUGCAUCACACUCCACAAUGAAUGAAACAGCAAAAUCCGGCAGCUGAAGCACAGGGGCUGUGGUCAGAGCUUUCUUGAGGGCUUCAAAGGCAAUAGUCGUUGCAGGCGUCUAAAGAAAUCCGUCUUUCUUGAGGAGUGCCGUGAGGGGAGCUGCAAUGGUGCCAAAAUCCCGGAUGAACUUGCGGUAGUAUCCUGCCAGUCCUAAGAAACCACGCACAGCGCGGACGGUGCGCGGAACCGGCCAGUCUACCACGGCAAGAACCUUGUCGCUGUCCAUGGCAACUCCUGCAGCGGAGAUGACGUGUCCCAGAUAAGCCAUGGUUUCCUCCCCAAAGGAACACUUGGAGCGCUUGAGAAACAGUUGAUGUGUGCGCAUAGCCUCCAAAACGAGCUUGACAUGACGUAGGUGAUCCGACCAGGACGAGCUGUAGAUCAAGAUAUCAUCGAAGAACACAAGCACAAACCGACGAAGGUAGGGACGGAGGACGUCGUUCAUGAGUGCUUGGAACGUCGCUGGGGCAUUUGUCAAACCAAAGGCCAUCACUACAAACUCAAAGAGGCCCUCAUGUGUGCGGAAGGCCGUCUUGUGGAUAUCCUCAGGGGCCAUCCGAACCUGGUGGUAACCCGAUCGGAGAUCCAGUUUGGUGAAAAAGCGGGCGCCCUUGAGUUCAUCCAGAAGUUCAUCGACAACAGGAAUUGGAAACUUGUCCUUGAUGGUGACAAGGUUGAGACCACGGUAGUCGAUACAGAAACGCCAAGUCCCGUCGGCCUUUCUGACGAGUAGAACGGGGGAUGAAAAUGCAGAAGAACUAGGACGGAUCAGACCGCGAGCUAGCAUCUCUGAACAUUGGUGCUCUAGUUCAUCUUUUUGAAUCGUUGGGUAGCGGUAGGGACGGACAGCAACCGGCGGUGUCCCAGGAAUAAGAUGAAUAUGAUGGUCAUGUGCGCGCUGCGGCGGCAGGCCCUGUGGGUCAGCGAAAACAUCGGUGAAAGUGGCCAGCAGGCUGUCCAGAAGUUCCUUGCCUUCGCACGCGUGUAGGUGGGCAGGACGUCCGAGGGAGCCGAGGCCCGACAACUCCACACGGUGAUUCGAGUGCCAAAACGACAUCCACUGCGUAGUGAAAUCCCAGAGAAUUGUCCCAAGAGUUUUGAGGAAUCAUGUACCGAAGACGAUGUCGAACCCGCCCAAUGGAAUGGCAUGUAGAUCAACAACGAAACGCUCCUUGUCAAUGGUGAUCGCAGCCUGCUGAAGGAGUCCCCGACAGGUCACCUUAUCGCCAUUAGCGACCGUGACUCCCAAACGACGAUUGGAGGAGAAAGGCAGCCUGACGAUGGUGGCCAACUCUUCGUGGAUGAAGUUAUGAGCGCUGCCUGAAUCAAGCAAGGCGACCAAGUCACGGUCCCCGAUGCGAAGAGUGACCUGCAUUGUGUCGCUGGUGGGAAUUCCGGUAACAACCAAGAGUGAGAUUUGUGCUUCCUGGAAAUCCUCAAACUGCUCCUCUUCGGCGUCGGCGGAUUGAAUAUAGAACAGCCGUUUGCAGCGAUGGCCCCGCGCGAACUUCUCGUCACAAUUGAAGCAGAGACCCUUAGCGCGCCGUUCAUCCAUCUCGGCGGGCGUGAGUCGUUUAAAGACGAGCGCGGGCGUGGAGUUGGAGGAGUCCGGCAAGGCCGGAGUAGGUGCAGCCAUGGGGUGGAGUGGACGGUUGGGCCGGCCCGGAGUGGUCGCGGUGCUGGUGACAGUAUUGAGGUGCUCAAAGGAGAUUGCAAGUCCAUAGCUGCGUCCAAAGUCGCCGGUUUCAGCAUCUCGACCUGAGUUUUCAUAGGCUCGCCCAAGUUGUUGGUGAAGAUAUCCCGCUCAUCGUCGUUAGCAAUGGGGCGCACCCAAGAGAGAUUCUCUAGAAAGCGCUUGGAGUAUUCUGCCACGGUGCUAGAGCGGCGGGUGGAGAUCAGCUCGCCAAAGGGGUUGGCGCGGGUCGGCGGUCCGAAGUGGUUGGCGAUCAGUUUUUGAAACUCGGUCCAGGACGGCCGCUGGCCCAGCUUAGUCUCGAGGUGGCCAUACCAUAAUGCGGCGACAUCGGUGAGGUGGUAUGAGGCGAGCCAAGUCUUAUCCGACUCCGGCGUUCGCUGCCCGAGGAAGAAGAGAUUGCAACGUGUCAGCCACGGCCGUGGAUCGCUGGCCCCGUCAAAGAGGGGAAAAUCAAUCUUGUAGAGGCGCGGAGCCCUAUCCCCUGGAUCGGCCGGGGCCCCGGUGUGGGAUGGCGCAUCUGGGGGCCGCAGGAGCCCGGUACCACCCAAUUUGAGGCGUGCCCUUGCCUUCCAGCCGAAGGAGGGCCAGGUUCUGCGCGCGCUGCUGCUGUGACGUGUCCGCCAGCUGGUCCUGGAGGGUUUUGAGUGUCGCGGCGAUGGACUGGAGGGUGGCGCGGUCCUCGGCGCGCUCUGUCCGAGCAGUGUGGUUCUCCUCCGAGAGGCUGUUCAAAGUGGCGACCACGGCCUCAUGAUCCUCGUGCUGUUUGGUCGCGAGGUCUGCUAGGGUUUGCGGUAGAGGCGCCGGCGGCGGUGGCAGAGACAUGGCCGCUGGGAUCGACGAGGAAGCUGAUACCAAGUUGUCACGGCCCGGCUGAUUGCCGCGCAGGUUGUAGUCGUGGUUAGUAGGAGGACGAGGGCGAGGCCCUCGCUUGCCUAUGGUUGGAGAAGGGGGUGAGGAGGGGCGCCGUGGCGCAGGAGCAAGCGAGGAGAGGUUGUAGGAUAUUCUGCUUGCGUUUAUUGAUCCAAGGGCUGGCUAUAUAUAGCCUAAUUACAAGACCAGACUAAGACUCCUAUUACAAUUGGGUGUUGGCAGGGUAACCUUCUUCGGGACUAAACCUUUCCAACUAAUACCCAGACUCCUAAUCUAAAAAGACUGUAAUUAAACUAGGACAUAUCUUUAGGCAGGUGCAGGGCCGGCCCGUGCAGGUCCCUUACGCCUAUAGGGCUGGCCCCACAUGACACUGGACCUCAUAAUCUGUUUUGGCGUGUUGGUAGCGACUCGUGGGUGAGAUGUUCUACUCGUCAUGGACAUAUCAAGCAAAUCGUG
RNAcentral lists this long non-coding RNA (5666 nucleotides) under Triticum aestivum (bread wheat). Its description in RNAcentral is "long non-coding RNA (TAES_LNC000852)". Lineage: Eukaryota; Viridiplantae; Streptophyta; Magnoliopsida; Poales; Poaceae. The record is from RNAcentral.